GAUGAACGCUGGCGGCGUGCUUAACACAUGCAAGUCGAACGAUGAAGCCCAGCUUGCUGGGUGGAUUAGUGGCGAACGGGUGAGUAACACGUGAGUAACCUGCCCUUAACUCUGGGAUAAGCCUGGGAAACUGGGUCUAAUACCGGAUAGGAGCGUCCACCGCAUGGUGGGUGUUGGAAAGAUUUAUCGGUUUUGGAUGGACUCGCGGCCUAUCAGCUUGUUGGUGAGGUAAUGGCUCACCAAGGCGACGACGGGUAGCCGGCCUGAGAGGGUGACCGGCCACACUGGGACUGAGACACGGCCCAGACUCCUACGGGAGGCAGCAGUGGGGAAUAUUGCACAAUGGGCGCAAGCCUGAUGCAGCGACGCCGCGUGGGGGAUGACGGCCUUCGGGCUGUAAACCUCUUUCAGUAGGGAAGAAGCGAAAGUGACGGUACCUGCAGAAGAAGCACCGGCUAACUACGUG
Molecule: ribosomal RNA, 466 nt
Filed under: uncultured bacterium
Lineage: Bacteria
Description: partial 16S ribosomal RNA
Rfam family: Bacterial small subunit ribosomal RNA
Source: RNAcentral